Gigantopelta aegis is the source of this 313-nucleotide long non-coding RNA. RefSeq lists it as uncharacterized. Lineage: Eukaryota; Metazoa; Mollusca; Gastropoda; Neomphalida; Peltospiridae. The record is from RefSeq and is a predicted model, not a curated record. The transcript is spliced from 3 exons.
GUCUACGGCAGACAAUGAACGCCAACGCCAGAACGCCACCGAGCCGGCCGAACAUGUCACCGAAAUUUCAGUUGGGAAUUUUAAUAUUGAAGAAAUGUCUACGGCAGACAAUGAGAAUCAGGAUGCGCUGCUAGCAUCGUUCGAUGUUCCGCACAGGAAUACAGAAGAUCAUUCAGAACCUGUUGAAAUAUCCAUAAACAUCGCACCAGAUCUGCCCGAAGAUGUCCUCUCUGAAGAACCGAUUACCUUCAAAGUUUUGAAUGAGGGUAGUAAGCGGGGUGGUCGUCUGCUAGUGUCAAGCGAUGGAUUUUCC